RNAcentral lists this ribosomal RNA (468 nucleotides) under uncultured bacterium. RNAcentral describes it as "partial 16S ribosomal RNA". It matches the Rfam family "Bacterial small subunit ribosomal RNA", at positions 28 to 507 of the family's 1533-position model. The record is from RNAcentral.
GACGAACGCUGGCGGCGUGCUUAACACAUGCAAGUCGAACGGAAAGGCCCUGCUUUUGUGGGGUGCUCGAGUGGCGAACGGGUGAGUAACACGUGAGUAACCUGCCCUUGACUUUGGGAUAACUUCAGGAAACUGGGGCUAAUACCGGAUAGGAGCUCCUGCUGCAUGGUGGGGGUUGGAAAGUUUCGGCGGUUGGGGAUGGACUCGCGGCUUAUCAGCUUGUUGGUGGGGUAGUGGCUUACCAAGGCUUUGACGGGUAGCCGGCCUGAGAGGGUGACCGGCCACAUUAGGACUGAGAUACGGCCCAGACUCCUACGGGAGGCAGCAGUGGGGAAUAUUGCACAAUGAGCGGAAGCCUGAUGCAGCAACGCAGCGUGCGGGAUGACGGCCUUCGGGUUGUAAACCGCUUUCGCCUGUGACGAAGCGUGAGUGACGGUAAUGGGUAAAGAAGCACCGGCUAACUACGUG